Molecule: ribosomal RNA, 443 nt
Filed under: uncultured bacterium
Lineage: Bacteria
Description: partial 16S ribosomal RNA
Rfam family: Bacterial small subunit ribosomal RNA
Source: RNAcentral
CCUACGGGCGACAGCAGUGGGGAAUAUUGCACAAUGGGCGAAAGCCUGAUGCAGCAACGCCGCGUGAAGGAAGAAGGGUUUCGGCUCGUAAACUUCUAUCAACAGGGACGAAAGAAAUGACGGUACCUGUAUAAGAAGCCCCGGCGAACGUCGUGACAGCAGCCGCGGUAAUACGGAGGGGGGAAGCGUUAUCCGGAAUUACUGGGUGUAAAGGGUGGGGAGGCGGCAUGGUAAGCCAGAUGUGAAAGCCUUGGGCUUAACCCGAGGAUUGCAUUUGGAACUAUCAAGCUAGAGUACAGGAGAGGAAGGCGGAAUUCCUAGUGUAGCGGUGAAAUGCUUAGAUAUUAGGAAGAACACCAGUGGCGAAGGCGGCUUUCUGGACUGAAACUGACGCUGAGGCACGAAAGCGUGGGGAGCGAACAGGAUUAGAUACCCCUGUAGUC